This is a long non-coding RNA of Saccostrea cuccullata (small rock oyster), 492 nucleotides long. RefSeq lists it as uncharacterized. The record is from RefSeq and is a predicted model, not a curated record. NCBI's taxonomy places the organism in Eukaryota, Metazoa, Mollusca, Bivalvia, Ostreida, Ostreidae. The transcript is spliced from 2 exons.
GAGUAUAACACAACAUGCGACAUUGUGGAUGGAAUGUUUUUUAUAUCACAUCAAUUAAUAUGUUGUGUAUUGCCCAAUACUUAUCCUUUCUUUAAAAAUGAAUGCAAAUUUGAUCAGAUAAGACAUAUGUAUUAUCUUCCUAUCGACUAGAGGUUACUCUGUUCACAAUUUGUAUACACCCGAAUGAAUGGUUAUACCCGGUGAAAUUUCGCAUGACCCAAACGUUUGAUCAACAUUGAUUGUCAGCUGUUUACAAGUAUGGGAAACGUGCAGGUUUUAGACGAAUUGUGCAUUUGGUUUUAGGAAUUUCUUUUACCGCUUUUGGUCAUUUACCAUCUUAACUUGUUUUGUUAUAUAUAGCACUGGAUAACACAUGCAAGUUGGAUAAAAACGAUAUUGAAGAGGAUCCAACCAGCUGUUCUCAAGAAAAUGCUGUUUUAGUUUUUCUUUUGUCUAUUUUUGUAAAUUUAAAUAAAAAUUAUGUUGAUUUUA